This 369-nucleotide ribosomal RNA is filed under the name uncultured bacterium. RNAcentral's name for it is "bacterial SSU rRNA". It matches the Rfam family "Bacterial small subunit ribosomal RNA", at positions 551 to 917 of the family's 1533-position model. The record is from RNAcentral.
UUACCUGGGCGUAAGCGUGCGUAGGUCGGUUUUGUAAGACAGGAGGUGAAAUCCCCGGGCUCAACCUGGGAACUGCCUUUGUGACUGCAAGGCUGGAGUGCGGCAGAGGGGGAUGGAAUUCCGCGUGUAGCGGUGAAAUGCGUAGAUAUGCGGAGGAACACCGAUGGCGAAGGCAAUCCCCUGGACCUGUACUGACGCUCAUGCGCGAAAGCGUGGGGAGCAAACAGGAUUAGAUACCCUGGUAGUCCACGCCCUAAACGAUGUCAACUGGUUGUUGGGAAUUUUGUUUCCUUAUAACGAAGCUAACGCGUGAAGUUGACCCCCUGGGGAGUACCGGCGCAAGGGUUAAACUCAAAUGGAAUUUACGGG